This 346-nucleotide ribosomal RNA is filed under the name uncultured bacterium. Its description in RNAcentral is "bacterial SSU rRNA". It matches the Rfam family "Bacterial small subunit ribosomal RNA", at positions 28 to 399 of the family's 1533-position model. The record is from RNAcentral.
GACGAACGCUGGCGGCAGGCUUAACACAUGCAAGUCGAACGCACCGGCAAGGUGAGUGGCAGACGGGUGAGUAACGCGUGGGAACGUACACUUCGGUUCGGAAUAGCUCCGGGAAACUGGAAUUAAUACCGGGAUACGCCCUUAGGGGGAAAGAUUCAUCGCCGAAGGAUCGGCCCGCGUCAGAUUAGGUAGUUGGUAGGGUAACGGCCUACCAAGCCGAUGAUCUGUAGGUGGUCUGAGAGGANGAUCACCCACACUGGACUGAGACACGGCCCAGACUCCUACGGGAGGCAGCACGUGGGGAAUAUUGGGACAAUGGGCGCAAGGACCUGAUCCAGCCAUGCCG